This 503-nucleotide ribosomal RNA is filed under the name uncultured bacterium. Its description in RNAcentral is "partial 16S ribosomal RNA". It matches the Rfam family "Bacterial small subunit ribosomal RNA", at positions 30 to 523 of the family's 1533-position model. The record is from RNAcentral.
AUUGAACGCUGGCGGCAGGCUUAACACAUGCAAGUCGAGCGGGGUGAUGGUGCUUGCACUAUCACUUAGCGGCGGACGGGUGAGUAAUGCUUAGGAAUCUGCCUAUUAGUGGGGGACAACAUCGCGAAAGGGAUGCUAAUACCGCAUACGUCCUACGAGAGAAAGCAGGGGAUCACUUGUGACCUUGCGCUAAUAGAUGAGCCUAAGUCGGAUUAGCUAGUAGGUGGGGUAAAGGCCUACCAAGGCGACGAUCUGUAGCGGGUCUGAGAGGAUGAUCCGCCACACUGGGACUGAGACACGGCCCAGACUCCUACGGGAGGCAGCAGUGGGGAAUAUUGGACAAUGGGGGGAACCCUGAUCCAGCCAUGCCGCGUGUGUGAAGAAGGCCUUAUGGUUGUAAAGCACUUUAAGCGAGGAGGAGGCUCUUUUGGUUAAUACCCAAGAUGAGUGGACGUUACUCGCAGAAUAAGCACCGGCUAACUCUGUGCCAGCCGCCGCAGUAA